This 148-nucleotide unclassified non-coding RNA is filed under the name uncultured Leotiomycetes. RNAcentral describes it as "sequence contains ITS2". Lineage: Eukaryota; Fungi; Ascomycota; Leotiomycetes. The record is from RNAcentral.
CAACCCUCAAGCUCUGCUUGGUGUUAGGCGCCGCCCGUCAAACGGCGCGCCUCAAAAUCAGUGGCGGUGCCAUCUGGCUGUAAGCGUAGUAAUUCUUCUCGCUUUGGAGACCAGGUGUGUGCUCGCCAGCAACCCUCAAUUUUAUCAA